RNAcentral lists this ribosomal RNA (253 nucleotides) under uncultured bacterium. RNAcentral's name for it is "partial 16S ribosomal RNA". It matches the Rfam family "Bacterial small subunit ribosomal RNA", at positions 524 to 776 of the family's 1533-position model. The record is from RNAcentral.
UACGUAGGGGGCAAGCGUUGUCCGGAAGCAUUGGGCGUAAAGCGCGUGUAGGCGGUCCGGUAAGUCCGCUGUGAAAGUCGGGGGCUUAACCCUCGGAUGCCGGUGGAUACUGUCGGGCUUGAGUACGGAAGAGGCGAGUGGAAUUCCUGGUGUAGCGGUGAAAUGCGCAGAUAUCAGGAGGAACACCAAUUGCGAAGGCAGCUCGCUGGGACGUUACUGACGCUGAGACGCGAAAGCGUGGGGAGCAAACAGG